This 370-nucleotide long non-coding RNA is filed under the name Citrus maxima (pomelo). Its description in RNAcentral is "long non-coding RNA (CMAX_LNC003655)". Lineage: Eukaryota; Viridiplantae; Streptophyta; Magnoliopsida; Sapindales; Rutaceae. The record is from RNAcentral.
CCAAAAGUUUUUUAUUUUUAAUAUUCUUUAAAUAUUUUAAACUUAAAUAUAUUUUUUAUUUAUUUUUAGAUGUAAUAAUUGCCCACAGCGAAUCACAAUUUUAAUAUCUAAUCUAAUCUAAUCUAAUAUUUACUCUUGAUUUACUCCGAUUUAACUAUUGUGUUGUAAAAGGAAUAGUCCACAUUUAUAAAGUGCUCACGUCACCAUUGAAAAAGUUAAUUUUGAAUCUAAAUUCGAUUUUAUUUGUAACAAUUUUGUAUUAGACUAUUAAUUUGUUCAUGAUAGUUUGUAAAAUAAGUUUGUAUCCCUUGCAUGUUGCGUUAUUUACUAAUUUAAUGUAUGUGACUUUUGUAAUGGAUAUUAAUGUAAG